This 86-nucleotide transfer RNA is filed under the name Anaerolineaceae bacterium oral taxon 439. RNAcentral's name for it is "tRNA-Ser". It matches the Rfam family "tRNA". Rfam says of the family: Transfer RNA (tRNA) molecules are approximately 80 nucleotides in length. Lineage: Bacteria; Bacillati; Chloroflexota; Anaerolineae; Anaerolineales; Anaerolineaceae. The record is from RNAcentral. RNAcentral also lists the same sequence under 2 other names.
GGAGAGAUAGCGUAGUUGGCCUAACGCGCGCGCCUGGAAAGCGCGUAUACUGAAAGGUAUCGUGGGUUCGAAUCCCACUCUCUCCG